This is a long non-coding RNA of Carassius gibelio (silver crucian carp), 2788 nucleotides long. RefSeq lists it as uncharacterized. The record is from RefSeq and is a predicted model, not a curated record. The transcript has 2 exons. Lineage: Eukaryota; Metazoa; Chordata; Actinopteri; Cypriniformes; Cyprinidae.
ACCAUCUACUCAAGCAGUGCAAUAGUAUUGUCAUUGCAUUCGGCUUUCGCCUACUCACCCACUAGAGCCUUAAACAAAGCUGGGACGAACGCUAUAUUGUUAAGGGGCAUUUAAGUACUAUUUCAAAUAGCGAAUAGGGGGUUUUGCACGAGUAUAUAGACCACCUAGAUAUAUGGGCCCAGAAGUGUGCACGAUGUUGGAUUGAUUCCAUGCCCAACAGCACUAUUACAGAGCAUGCACCAGGCGUGUGAACUGCAGUAUUUGAGCUAUGGUAUAUCUGUGACCAGGUUUUUCCACUUAUUGAAAAUGCCUACAAGACCACGCCUCCUUCGAAAGAACAUUUUGUACGACUGAGGUCGUCUUCGUUUGCAUUGAAAACCACGUGUUCGAUUAAGUAACACUCCAAAAAUGCUUUGAAGUGAGUUUCUCAACCUUUUGCAUAUUUCGGGAACUUCUGUAUGAGGCCUGCUGGCAAAGAGGUGCACAAAAGCAGUGAAUAAUAACGAGCGGACGUAAAUAAUCAUCUAAACGCCAUUUUGUAUGCUUUUGUCGAUUCAUAAAUGUCAGUAGCACAUAGCUUCACCCCCUAUGCAUUUUGUAGUCAACAGCAACGUGUUGAAUUGUAUUUAUUUUCUUUAAAGAACAAUUUAUAUAUAUAUAAUUUGUUUGAGGUGUAGCCUAUAUAAAUCACAAACGUAAAUAAUUGUAUUCUGAAUUUGUUUUCUUCAUGAUUUAAUUAUAUACUUUUAUUCUUCGUGCAAUUAAACUUUAUUAUCGAAUGUUUUCCCCCUAUCUUUUUCAAAUGAGUUAUUUAAGAUAUUUAUUGUAAAUUCAAAGCCAACGCAAUUAUUGGGUUCUCUAACGCUUACACGUAAAUAAGCCUGUACAUUAAUCAGUGCUAUGAGAAUUAAACCGUUUGAUGCAAAGUAUUUGUAACAGCAGUGCUCCCAUCUCCCUGGAGCUCCCUACUAAACAGAGCUGGUAGGUGUGUAACCAUAUAUUUAGAUUUUUAUUUAUAAUGAAGGAGCUCUUCCAGAAGGCAGAAGGAAGGGAUGAUUCUCUUGUUUGAGCCAGAUCGGUGGGGGAUGGGACUAUUUGUAAGGAAUGUAGGGGGCAGGUCCCUUUCCAAGAGGGGAGGAAACGGAGGGAAUGUGAGGAGGGGGGUCGUCCAUAGUGACAUUUUACUCUUGGUCAGUAUUUGCAAGGUUAUGCAAGUUGAACUUUUUCGGUUGUCCCAUCAAAAGACUGGAUAUCUGGCCGAACAAAGUUGCUUGUAAUGAUACGUAGGCAGGUCGGUGUGUGUGAAUUUGCUGGCUGGCGCAACACACACAGACUUUGUAUAAUAGCCUAUAAAAGUUAAGUCAAUAGUGUGUCUCGUAUUUUUUAAUUAAACAUAUUGCAUGCAAUUCGUACAAAAAUAAAGUUUAUGAUGAACAGUGAAUUAUUUCGAUAUCUUUUUUUUUCCGAGUUUGGGACUUAAAAUGUCUAGGUGGUGUAACUGCUGAGAUUGUAAAACACUUUUAAAAGCUACAAAUCUUGAUAAAAAAAGCAAUAUUGGCAUAAGAAGUCUGUAAAUUUUAAAUGGAUAAUUCUUUAAUGUUUAGAAUUGCAUGUUCUAACAAACAAUCAUCAACCGUUUUGUUGUCAUAUGACAAGAAGAAGAAGAAGAAGGAGAAGAAAAAAACAGAGGAACCAUUUAAAGUAGACCUUCAUGACUUGACUGUGUCUGGGUUAUUUGAUUUAUUUAAAUCUCCCUUUUAUGAAAAUGCACGCUUUAUUCUGUUUUGUUCAAAGGAAGGGUCUAAUCUUACGUCAUAACAUAAAUUUGUCAUUUUCAUGACAUUUAAUAAAAAUCGUAUUAUUAUUAGGCCUGUUUAAUAAUAGUUGUGUGGAUUCGCGUAAAGUAUUUUAUGGUCUUUUAAAAAACACUGCAUGAUAAUUUCGCACGUAGUGUUUUAAAACAGACCAUUACAAGAUUUCUCCUUUUUAUCAUCUGGAGUAUUUAUCAUUGCCGCGUAUAUAUCGGGGCUCUACAGUAGAAUGUAAGCUUGAGACUCACCGGUCUGAACUGGGUGUAUGAGGAAUGUUGCGCUAUACCGCAACGCGCAUGCGCAGCACAUUCAUAGGCCACUAUAGCAUACUGAGGCCUACAGCUCCUCUGUUCUCAUGAUCCUGGCUCAGCUCUUAGCUAGAUGGCUUUGAAGCUUCACAUGAGGAGUGGGGACAAGUAAGAUCAUGCAUGUGAGUUCAAUGUGAAAUUCCCAAGGGAGAGGAAAAAAAACAUCCUGUUGAAGCAUGUCGUUAACUCCAAGGCAGAAGCUGGUAUGCUUGGAAUUGCAGAGCACCAAGACUGCUUUUGGACGAAGAUAACCAAAGGGCCUACAAUAUGCUUUCUACUCGGUGUUUCUCAUAUUUGAAUGCCAUCUGCGUGGCUUUGAAAGAAAGUUUGUCUUUAUUGAUAGCAUGCAUGUAUUGGUAUUAGAAGAUUAUUUUUUAAGUUGCCCAUUUAAAAUGGCAGAUGUGCUUAAUGAUGUUUUUGAGAGAAAAAAAAAGUCACAUGGUAUAUUUAAAUGAUUCUACCUAUUCUUGGUAAUUCCUUGACAAAUGUAUAUUAAAUUGUAUUAUUAUAGAUGAAAGCAUUUAAACUCAACCAUGUGGCCUACACAACCCUCAACAUUUUUGCUAUAUUAAACAACAUUUCAUGAAGCAUGUUGUUUGGCAGCAAAUAAACUUAACUGAAUUCUGUUCAGCAUUUUGCUGUUCACUUUGGUUUAAGGCUGUGGAGGGU